RNAcentral lists this ribosomal RNA (487 nucleotides) under uncultured bacterium. RNAcentral describes it as "bacterial SSU rRNA". It matches the Rfam family "Bacterial small subunit ribosomal RNA", at positions 28 to 507 of the family's 1533-position model. The record is from RNAcentral.
GAUAAACGCUAGCGACAGGCCUAACACAUGCAAGUCGAGGGGCAGCACAUGAGUAGCAAUACGAUGGUGGCGACCGGCGCACGGGUGAGUAACACGUAUGCAACCUACCCAUAAGAGGGGAAUAACCCGGAGAAAUUCGGACUAACGCCGCAUAAUACUGAAUAUUCGCAUGGAUUUUCAGUUAAAUAUUAAUAGCUUAUGGAUGGGCAUGCGUAUGAUUAGAUAGUUGGUAGGGUAACGGCCUACCAAGUCAACGAUCAUUAGGGGUUCUGAGAGGAAGGUCCCCCACAUUGGAACUGAGACACGGUCCAAACUCCUACGGGAGGCAGCAGUGAGGAAUAUUGGUCAAUGGGCGAGAGCCUGAACCAGCCAUGUCGCGUGAAGGAAGAAUGUCCUAUGGAUUGUAAACUUCUUUUAUACAGGAAUAAAGUGUACUACGUGUAGUAUUUUGUAUGUACUGUAUGAAUAAGGAUCGGCUAACUCCGUG